CCUUCAAGAGUGAUUGAUAUAUAGAUCAAUAGUAUAGUCCUGGAGGUAUACUAACGAGUAGCUGAGCCAUGGAUCAUCGGUAGGAGAGCAAACAGUACGUAGAACAGACAUGCCUCCAUUGUGGUAUAUACGAGUAUAUAUUAUUAAAAGUGAAAUGCUUUAUUGUCCAGCACGAUACGGAAACAGCGGACGAUUCGGUCGAAUGGAGGCAAUAACUUUUAUGGUAUAUUUCGAGGCAUGAUAAUCCUUACCUUACUCUUAUAAAAGGUAUGAAAGGCCACUGAGCGUGCAACAAUACAAACAAAAAUAAAUAAAAAUACGCUUGAGUUGA
Molecule: long non-coding RNA, 331 nt
Organism: Drosophila pseudoobscura
Lineage: Eukaryota; Metazoa; Arthropoda; Insecta; Diptera; Drosophilidae
Exons: 2
Source: RefSeq, a predicted model, not a curated record